This 328-nucleotide ribosomal RNA is filed under the name uncultured eukaryote. RNAcentral's name for it is "partial 18S ribosomal RNA". It matches the Rfam family "Eukaryotic small subunit ribosomal RNA", at positions 1470 to 1796 of the family's 1831-position model. The record is from RNAcentral.
CCCUUAGAUGUUCUGGGCUGCACGCGCGUUACACUGAUGCAUUCAACGAGCUUAUAACCUUGGCCGAGAGGCCUGGGCAAUCUUGUUAACGUGCAUCGUGAUAGGGAUAGAUUAUUGAAAUUAUUAAUCUUGAACGAGGAAUUCCUAGUAAACGCAGAUCAUCAAUCUGCAUUGAUUACGUCCCUGCCCUUUGCACACACCGCCCGUCGCACCUACCGAUUGGAUGGUCCGGUGAAGCCUCGGGAUUGUGGUUCUUGCCGCUUUAUUGUGGCGUGACCGCGAGAACUUGUCUAAACCUUAUCAUCUAGAGGAAGGUGAAGUCGUAACA